RNAcentral lists this long non-coding RNA (612 nucleotides) under Ananas comosus (pineapple). RNAcentral describes it as "long non-coding RNA (ACOM_LNC005226)". Lineage: Eukaryota; Viridiplantae; Streptophyta; Magnoliopsida; Poales; Bromeliaceae. The record is from RNAcentral.
AAUAUUGUAGUGAGAUAAAUUUAUAAAAAAGAGAAAAGAAAGUAUAAUCGUGAGAUCUUCUUGUGCGAAUAAGAGUUCUUAGUAUAAAGGUCUGGCAGUACUUGUCCACAAAAGUAUCAUCAAUUGUAGAUCUAAUAUUCUCUUAUGUUGAGAAGUCAGCAGGGAUGUAGGCAAACUGUCGAACCUCAAGACAAAUUGAUCGCUUGCUUCUUUGAGUUUCAAUUUCUCCAACUCUUCUCAUUUUUAUUUAUUACGGAUUUCUUGGAUUUGAUUUUAUUGCAUUUUUAUUUUAGAAAUCUAAUUCACCCCCUACUAUAACAAAUUCAUGACUUAGUGGCAUUUACUCCACAACAAUUAUUUAAAUCAUACUAAUUAAUAUAUUUAACAACAUUACUUGAUAAUUAUCACUAGAUUUAAUAAUUUAGAAGUAAUUUAUUAUUAAUGUUGCAAAAUAGUAUAAAUUAGCAGCGUAAAUUAGUGAAUGCCGCUGAAAUUUUCAACAUUUUAUAAAAAAUGAUACUAAAUGUAACAAAGUAGCAGUGCUUAUUGCUAAAUACUGCGACAUUUAUUCCGCAAUAUUUAUUUAAGUCAUGUUAAUUAAUAUAUUUAACA